RNAcentral lists this ribosomal RNA (624 nucleotides) under uncultured bacterium. RNAcentral describes it as "bacterial SSU rRNA". It matches the Rfam family "Bacterial small subunit ribosomal RNA", at positions 141 to 783 of the family's 1533-position model. The record is from RNAcentral.
GGAUAGCCUUUCGAAAGAAAGAUUAAUACCUGAUGGUAUGAUGAGAUUGCAUGAUAGCAUCAUUAAAGAUUUAUCGGUGUACGAUGGGGAUGCGUUCCAUUAGCUAGUUGGUGAGGUAACGGCCCACCAAGGCAACGAUCAGUAGCCGACCUGAGAGGGUGACCGGCCACAUUGGGACUGAGACACGGCCCAGACUCCUACGGGAGGCAGCAGUGGGGGAUAUUGCACAAUGGAGGAAACUCUGAUGCAGCGACGCCGCGUGAGUGAAGAAGUAUUUCGGUAUGUAAAGCUCUAUCAGCAGGGAAGAAAAUGACGGUACCUGACUAAGAAGCCCCGGCUAACUACGUGCCAGCAGCCGCGGUAAUACGUAGGGGGCAAGCGUUAUCCGGAUUUACUGGGUGUAAAGGGAGCGUAGACGGCGAUGCAAGUCUGAAGUGAAAUACCCGGGCUCAACCUGGGAACUGCUUUGGAAACUGUAUGGCUAGAGUGCUGGAGAGGUAAGCGGAAUUCCUAGUGUAGCGGUGAAAUGCGUAGAUAUUAGGAAGAACACCAGUGGCGAAGGCGGCUUACUGGACAGUAACUGACGUUCAGGCUCGAAAGCGUGGGGAGCAAACAGGAUUAGAU